This 3594-nucleotide long non-coding RNA is filed under the name Sus scrofa (pig). RNAcentral's name for it is "lncRNA (ENSSSCG00000061424.1)". Lineage: Eukaryota; Metazoa; Chordata; Mammalia; Artiodactyla; Suidae. The record is from RNAcentral.
AAUAUUUAAUUUCAAGAUAUAGAUUUGAUGAAACAACUGUGAAAUUUUUCAAUUUUUUCCCCUUAAAAUACUGAGCCUUCUUUUCACUCACCUCACUGUAUAGCAAAAAAGUGUUUCUCCUGUCAACUUAAGGAAAAUUCUAGCUAAGAUAUAUGGUGGACAAUGCUAAUGGGAAAGCAUGUGAAAUUCACAAAAAAAUGAACAUUUUUUUUAUUUUGAUAUUCUUCAGGGGCUAGAGAAAAAGUCUUAAAAGCACUGACAAGUAAAACAGAUGUCACAAUUACACAUCCUAUAAACAAAUGUAUGGAAAUUCAAGGAUGUGAUGGACAUUUGCAAGCAUAAGUCAUUGUUCUCAAAUGACAAUCCUCUGUGACUAACAGCUAUGGUUGAUUCUGUUCUGUAAUCAUUCUGGGAUGUGAUCUGUCAACCACUCCUGGGAUGUCUGGGUGAAGUAAUGAAGAACACAGCCAAGUCUCUAAGGCACCAUUUCAGAUUUUCCUUCCUACCUACCCAUCCACAUUGUUUUCCUCGUCUAUGGAACUUCUGAUCCCAAGCUUUAUAUUCCUUCCUGUAUCUUUCUUCUUAAAGAAUUUGAAUGUCUUGGAUAUCUCAUUGUUGGAUCAGGCUUGUAGCUCACUGAAAGGGAGACUUCACCUACUCAAUAAACAAAUGCUUGCCAUUGUGUAAAAUCAAACAACUGGAAAUGAUUUUCAGGACAUUUUCAUAGUAAAUUGUAAGAAUGUCCAUAGUCAGUUGUAAGGAUGUCCUCUAGAGAAAAGAACAAUGGUACCCGUGAAUUGUCCAAUUUAAAGAAGCAACAUUAUUUAAAUGUCUACUAAAGAUUGAGAUCUUUUUUCCUCAUUUUAUUUAAAUUAUGAGAAGUUGGGUGGGAGGCUCCCUAAAUUCCAUGGUAUAAUUGGAAACUUAAAUUAUCUUCCCACAUUCUCUAUGUGUACUAAACUCUCCUUUCUUAUAUUAAGACCCCUAAGAAGUCAUAAGUAUCUUUGUGAACACAUACGUCCUCAAGGCAAUUAGCACCCUCAACAGUACCAAGUAGUUUUCCAAUUCUCUAUCUUUCUCUCUGACUUGACAGUCUUUUUCCUGGUGUUAGGUUUAUAUGCCAGGUGAAUUUGUCACAGAAGAGAACAGAGUAUUGAUUGAAUUUGACUAUCUUGAGUAAAUUUUGAUUUUAUGCCACCUGUCUGUUUCUGGAAUGGUUCAUUCUGCUCUAUCUGUGUUUGCUGACUCUCAAUACCAUGUAAGAACUUCAUCAUGACUACAUGACAAAAAUUCAUAAGAAGAAUCAAUUUAGAUUACUUUCAGAUUAUUACUCUAAAGCUGCCUUUAAGUAGUCCUACAAUUAUUUCUCUGAGUCCUCUGAAAAAAAAAAAUGACCUUUCUUUUUUGCUAAUGGAAAAGGGGAGUCAGAUCAAACCAGUCAGUCAAAGCAGUAUGAAGAAGAAUAAUGAAGGAAAAACUGUAAUCCCCUAAAUUACUUGCAAAAUCUGUGGGUUUUUAUAGAGAUGUUCUCUUUCUCUCCUGAUUGUCUCAAUUUGUUAACUAGCAUCUGUAUUUGAAGGUAAUUUUUAACUUAAAAAGGAAAAGAAAUUCUUAUAAAUUGUAUAGCAUCAGAACUUAAUUUUAAUUUAAAAUGUGUGGGAUUAUCAGAGCAACCUCUAGCUUUUCUAUUCCAGGAGAAAUGUAUUAAAAAUACAACUCUUUCUGAGUUUUAGAGUUAUUUUUUUUUCUCUAGGAAAAUAAUAAUAGUUCAUGGAAUUAUUGCAAGGGAUAAUUAAAAGUAAAAUCCAGUUAUAUAAAUUUUUAUCUCAUACACUCACACCGUAAAUACUGUCAUCUUUAUUAUUUCUAAAAAUAAAAUCAGUUAUCACAGUUGAAAAAGAUAGUCCCACUGUAAAGUAAUAAUAACAUUUUUGAGGAAACUCAUUUGAGAGAUAAUGUUAAAGCUUUGUCAUCGACUCAUUACAAUAACACUAUGUUGAGUGUGGAGAAACUGACAUUGAGAGUUUAAAUAAUAUAAACAAGUUCAUACAUCUAGGUAAUGAUAAGACUGGAAUUCUAAACUCUUUCUGCCUGAAACUGAUGCAUGUGCUACUUAUUAAACCUAUAUUCAACGAGUAGGAGGACCAAAUUCAGAGAGAAAUUUUUCCAAAAAUUAGUAAAAAAAAUAAAUUAGUACACCAAACAGGAAAUGCAACCAUGCUCAUUUUUCAUUUCUUUGGUAUCUACAGAAAGAAAUGGCAUCCCCAAAUUAUUCUACUCAAUGUGAUGAAAAGUUGAGCUAAUAAAUAAUAAAUCAGAGCUAACAAAAUGGUAAAGUUUUCAUUGGCUUUAACAUUACAGUCUUACCUCUAUUCGUCAUACAAAUGCACCACAUCAGCCGGUUGAAAUUAUAAAAAAAAAUGCAACUAUUUCGGUUUUAGGUUAAGAAAUCCAGCCUUUCUAAAAAUCACUCUCUUAAUACAUUUCCAAUUAUUUUAUUUCCAUAGCCAUAAUUUUUUGAUACAUUUUCUAUGGUAGUCAAGAGAGCAAAAAUACUGAAGAGAAGCAAGAUAUGGGGUUACUGUGGGCCUUUCUGGAUAUAAUUUCUAUAUGGAUUGUAAACCUGGAUAAGCCAUGUGAUAUUUUCUCUACCGUAUAUGCCCAAGGCUCAUGGGAGAUACUCCAGCGACUCAAUGUGCCAAAGAGGGCCAGGAGGAAAACACCCUAAGGAUUAUAGACAUGUUAUCAACAUUAGUACCAAUACCGAAACAGGAAACUUAAGGAAUAAUGUCCACAGAGAAAAGGGACGUGAGAAGUAGGCCAGCAGCAUAUGGAAUGUUUUGCCUUAUGUUUAUGUGAAAAUAACCAAAUGUGCAAAAGUUUUAGAAGAGGUUUCCUGAAUUUUCCUCAUGAGGAUGUCUCUGAAGAUUUUUUUUUAAAUCUUACUGAGUAAAAUACUGGGAUUUUAAGUGGAAAUAUUACAUUUUCUAUUCUUAUAGAGUAAAAUGUCUCCAUAAGUGGAUCUUUAAGCUAUUAACUUUCAACUAAAUUAUUCAAAAAUUAGAGAACAAUUAAAAGAAGUGUGAGAUGGAAUGUAGUGCUCAGUGCUCAGUGACUUCCCAUUGAAAGGUAUGGGAAAAAUUGGAUAAAAUAUCCAUUAAACUCUAUAGUCUCUUCCAAGAAUCAUUUCAGGUUAUUUUUCUGUAACUGUAAUGAUGCUAAUUGUUGAGGUGGACCUACCAUCCAAAGGUCCCUUUACUGGGUGGGCUGGGUUCCAGUGGAUAAUGAAAUCAAAAAAUCUAGGAGUUUUAUAAGAAUUUAUAAAUCUGAUUUCUUUCAGUCUAAUUUUAGAAAUGACAAAAAAAGGAGUUCUCCUUGUGCCUCAGUGGGUUUAGAAUCUGACUGGUAUCCAUGAGGAUGCAGGUUUGACGUAUGGAUGAGUUAAGGAUCCAGUGUUGCCCUGAGCUGUGGUGUAGGUCCCAGACAUGGCUCAGUUCCUGCAUUUCUGUGGCUGUAGUGUAGGCCAGCAGCUGCAGCAGCUCCAAUUAUACCCCUAGCCUAGGAACUUCCAUAUGUCAACAGGUACACUCCCCC